UACGUAGGGGGCUAGCGUUAUCCGGAAUUAUUGGGCGUAAAGAGCUCGUAGGCGGUUUGUCGCGUCUGCCGUGAAAGUCCGGGGCUCAACUCCGGAUCUGCGGUGGGUACGGGCAGACUAGAGUGAUGUAGGGGAGACUGGAAUUCCUGGUGUAGCGGUGAAAUGCGCAGAUAUCAGGAGGAACACCGAUGGUGAAGGCAGGUCUCUGGGCAUUAACUGACGCUGAGGAGCGAAAGCAUGGGGAGCGAACAGG
Molecule: ribosomal RNA, 253 nt
Filed under: uncultured bacterium
Lineage: Bacteria
Description: partial 16S ribosomal RNA
Rfam family: Bacterial small subunit ribosomal RNA
Source: RNAcentral